This 291-nucleotide long non-coding RNA is filed under the name Lotus japonicus. RNAcentral describes it as "long non-coding RNA (LJAP_LNC000236)". The record is from RNAcentral. Lineage: Eukaryota; Viridiplantae; Streptophyta; Magnoliopsida; Fabales; Fabaceae.
ACGAACCCAAACUCUGACUGGAGACGGUGGCCACAAAAUCGAUGCUGGUCAAUGCACUCACGCAUCAAAUCGCGAAGCUCCAUUCUUCUUCUCGAAGCUCCAUAAUCGCUGCCUCUGCGAUGGUGAAAUCAGAAGGAUUCAGUUUCAAAGAACUUUGGUUUCCGGAAGAAGAGUGAUUGAUUCCUUAAUUUUGAUUUUGUUCAUUUUCAGGUUGUUAUGUAUGGAGAUCUCUCUCGCGCCCUUGUGAUCCUCAUUCCGCUGCUCUUCAUCCAUGGCGGUCUCUGCUUCUNN